Molecule: ribosomal RNA, 253 nt
Filed under: uncultured bacterium
Lineage: Bacteria
Description: partial 16S ribosomal RNA
Rfam family: Bacterial small subunit ribosomal RNA
Source: RNAcentral
UACAGGGGGUGCAAACGUUGCUCGGAAUUAUUGGGCGUAAAGCGCGCGUAGGCGGCUACUUAAGUCGGAUGUGAAAGCCCUUGGCUCAACUGAGGAAGUGCACCCGAAACUGAGUGGCUAGAGUACGAAAGAGGGUCGCGGAAUUCCCGGUGUAGAGGUGAAAUGCGCAGAUAUCAGGAGGAACACCGGUGGCGAAGGCGGGUCUCUGGGCCGAUACUGACGCUGAGGAGCGAAAGCGUGGGGAGCGAACAGG